This 280-nucleotide ribosomal RNA is filed under the name uncultured Subdoligranulum sp. Its description in RNAcentral is "partial 16S ribosomal RNA". It matches the Rfam family "Bacterial small subunit ribosomal RNA", at positions 65 to 339 of the family's 1533-position model. Lineage: Bacteria; Bacillati; Bacillota; Clostridia; Eubacteriales; Oscillospiraceae. The record is from RNAcentral.
AGCUGAGAGAAGCUUGCUUUUCUUAGCUUAGUGGCGAACGGGUGAGUAACGCGUGAGUAACCCUGCCCUGGGAGUGGGGGACAACAGUUGGAAACGACUGCUAAUACCGCAUAAGCCCACGAUCCGGCAUCGGAUUGCGGGAAAAGGAUUUAUUUCGCUUUCAGGAUGGACUCGCGUCCAAUUAGCUAGUUGGUGAGGUAACGGCCCACCAAGGCGACGAUUGGUAGCCGGACUGAGAGGUUGAACGGCCACAUUGGGACUGAGACACGGCCCAGACUCC